GAGUUUGAUCCUGGCUCAGGACGAACGCUGGCGGCGUGCUUAACACAUGCAAGUCGAGCGGUAAGGCCCUUUCGGGGGUACACGAGCGGCGAACGGGUGAGUAACACGUGAGUAAUCUGCCCUCCACUUUGGGAUAAGCCUCGGAAACGGGGUCUAAUACCGGAUAGGAGCAUUCCACGCAUGUGGGGUGUUGGAAAGUUUUUCGGUGGGGGAUGUGCUCGCGGCCUAUCAGCUUGUUGGUGGGGUAAUGGCCUACCAAGGCUUCGACGGGUAGCCGGCCUGAGAGGGUGACCGGCCACACUGGGACUGAGACACGGCCCAGACUCCUACGGGAGGCAGCAGUGGGGAAUAUUGGACAAUGGGCGGAAGCCUGAUCCAGCAACGCCGCGUGAGGGAUGACGGCCUUCGGGUUGUAAACCUCUUUCACCUGUGACGAAGCGAAAGUGACGGUAGCAGGAGAAGAAGCACCGGCCAACUACGUGCCAGCAGCCGCGGUAAUACGUAGGGUGCGAGCGUUGUCCGGAAUUAUUGGGCGUAAGGGGCUCGUAGGCGGUUUGUCGCGUCGGGAGUGAAAACACCGGGCUUAACUCGGUGCUGGCUUUCGAUACGGGCAGACUAGAGGUAUUCAGGGGAGAACGGAAUUCCUGGUGUAGCGGUGAAAUGCGCAGAUAUCAGGAGGAACACCGGUGGCGAAGGCGGUUCUCUGGGAAUUACCUGACGCUGAGGAGCGAGAGUGUGGGGAGCGAACAGGAUUAGAUACCCUGGUAGUCCACACCGUAAACGUUGGGCGCUAGGUGUGGGAACCCGUCCACGGGUUCCGUGCCGCAGCUA
This 831-nucleotide ribosomal RNA is filed under the name uncultured bacterium. RNAcentral describes it as "bacterial SSU rRNA". It matches the Rfam family "Bacterial small subunit ribosomal RNA", at positions 9 to 854 of the family's 1533-position model. The record is from RNAcentral.